This 253-nucleotide ribosomal RNA is filed under the name uncultured bacterium. RNAcentral's name for it is "partial 16S ribosomal RNA". It matches the Rfam family "Bacterial small subunit ribosomal RNA", at positions 524 to 776 of the family's 1533-position model. The record is from RNAcentral.
UACGUAGGGGGCAAGCGUUGUCCGGAUUUAUUGGGCGUAAAGAGCGUGUAGGCGGUUUGGUAGGUCCGCUGUGAAAACUCGAGGCUCAACUUCGAGACGCCGGUGGAAACCAUCAGACUAGAGUCCGGAAGAGGAGAGUGGAAUUCCUGGUGUAGCGGUGAAAUGCGCAGAUAUCAGGAGGAACACCGGUGGCGAAGGCGGGUCUCUGGGCCGAAACUGACGCUGAGGAGCGAAAGCGUGGGGAGCGAACAGG